ACGUGUUUAUAGUAAUAGGUGCUUGUAGUAUUGUCAGUGAUAACACCAGUUAUUGCAGCAGUCUAGUCCAUGUCUGUAAUGGGUUAACGUGUUUAUAGUAAUAGGUGCUUGUAGUAUUGUCAGUGAUAACACCAGUUAUUGCAGCAGUCUAGUCCAUGUCUGUAAUGGGCUAACGUGUUUAUAGUAAUAGGUGCUUGUAGUAUUGUCAGUGAUAACACCAGUUAUUGCAGCAGUCUAGUCCAUGUCUGUAAUGGGUUAACGUGUUUAUCUUCUAAUAGGUGCUUGUAGUAUUGUCAGUGAUAACAACACCAGUUAUUGCAGCAGUCUAGUCCAUGUCUGUAAUGGGUUAACGUGUUUAUCUUCUAAUAGGUGCUUGUAGUAUUGUCAGUGAUAACACCAGUUAUUGCAGCAGUCUAGAGUCCAUGUCUGUAAUGGGUUAACGUGUUUAUCUUCUAAUAGGUGCUUGUAGUAUUGUCAGUGAUAACACCAGUUAUUGCAGCAGUCUAGUCCAUGUCUGUAAUGGGUUAACGUGUUUAUCUUCUAAUAGGUGCUUGUAGUAUUGUCAGUGAUAACACCAGUUAUUGCAGCAGUCUAGAGUCCAUGUCUGUAAUGGGUUAACGUGUUUAUCUUCUAAUAGGUGCUUGUAGUAUUGUCAGUGAUAACACCAGUUAUUGCAGCAGUCUAGUCCAUGUCUCUAAUGGGUUAACGUGUUUAUCUUCUAAUAGGUGCUUGUAGUAUUGUCAGUGAUAACACCGGGUAUCGCAACAGUCUAGUUUUGAUGGUCAAAAGAGUGAGUAAAGAAAUAGGUGUGGUUGGGAUCUAUUGGCUAUGGUUCAUCUGACAAAUAUGUUGAACUUGAAACCAGCUCAAGAAUCUGAAAAAAACAUUUGGUACAACCAAAGCCUGCUAGCACAAAUGGUUGUGGGUACAACAGAACAAUG
Molecule: long non-coding RNA, 941 nt
Organism: Haliotis rubra (blacklip abalone)
Lineage: Eukaryota; Metazoa; Mollusca; Gastropoda; Lepetellida; Haliotidae
Exons: 2
Source: RefSeq, a predicted model, not a curated record